ACCCUCAAAAGUUUUGGUUUUCCCUCUCAUUCUCAGAAUUCACAAUUAACAUUCCCUCAAAAGUUUUGGAUUUCCCUCCCAUUCUCAGAAUUCACAAUUAACAUCCAUCUAGAUCUGAAUCUCAAUCGAUUGUCUCCACCUUCCAUUUCCCAUCCCCAUCUUCCAAGGGGAUGGAUAUCUCCUCUAAUGGAUUCUCGCCACUGCCUCACUGAUGCAUUACGACUGAGUUACCGGCGAACCACCAGACAACCAUCAUCUCUGCUCGAAUCCUCGUUGCUUCACUCCUUACUUCAGCCCUGGGCGGAUGCGAGCCAGUGGUGAUCCUUAUUUCAGCGUCGGAAGAAGCAACUACCUUGGUGGUGAUAAACCAUUAGCAGCUCUUAAGUUACUUCAGAAAGUCGAUGAUCUCAACUACCUUGUACUUGAAUGCUUAGCAGAACGCACCCUUGCCGACCGCUACCAGGAGAUGUUGUCAGGCGGUGAAGGUUUUGACCCCCGGAUUUCAGAGUGGAUACAAUUGCUCCUUCCGUUGGCUGUUGAGAAAGGAGUGUGCACUAUUACUAACAUGGGUGCAAGUAAGCAACCUUAAUCGGUUUCGCCUAUGUAAUUUGUUCGCUUUAUUAAAUGCGAUUUUGUUUUUCUUGGAAAAAAAAUGCAUUGGCUGCUCAAGAAAAGGAUUUGGAAAUUGCAAGCGGAUUGGGUAUUAAGAUUACUGUAGGUGUAGCGCACCAGUUUGAUAGUGCCAAAGCAGGGUAUAAGCAUGUAUCUAGGGGCAGCUCCUAUUGAAGUACAAUCCUGAUGUUGUCUUCACUUCUUGGGUUGCUGAUGCUUCCUUAUUUCUAGCUCCAAUGGUCUAUGAACUCGGGUGGAACUGGGAUGACUUCUCGCUGUUAGCCCAGGGCUCUUUGGCUGGACACCUGCUAGAAUGCGGCUGUCAACUCACUGGAGGAUAUUUUAUGCAUCCAGGUCAAUGUGGAUCACAUGAAGCUCCAAAAAGGAAAAGGAAAAGUUAGUGUGAGCAAGUUGAGGAAUAUAUUGCAAGGAUCAGAGUAUGUGCUUACCUUUAGGGACAAGGGUGGUGAUUUGAUGUUUGUGGGAGUAAGUAUGAAGCAAAUUAACUUGUUUAGUUUGUCCACUUUCGUUAUGUUAUUUCCAGUAUAGUGUUGUAGCAUUUUGAAAGGAACUAAACUCAAGUAAUAAGAACAAUUAAUAAAUUUCAGAGGUUUGAUUUGUU
RNA transcript from Helianthus annuus (common sunflower), 1234 nucleotides. RefSeq lists it as uncharacterized. The transcript has 6 exons. The record is from RefSeq and is a predicted model, not a curated record. Lineage: Eukaryota; Viridiplantae; Streptophyta; Magnoliopsida; Asterales; Asteraceae.